CUCCGAUUACUCCCACAUUUCUAAACUGACCAACAUUGAGCCAAACUAAACUUUCACAUUUAUAAAGGCAUAUCCUUUGAUUUUUAGAUUUUAUGUUUUUUUUUCACCUUUGGAGUUCAUUCUUAUUAAGCAGAUUCUAGUCCAAAGCCACUGAUUUGAUCUUAAAGGGCUAGAAAUUGUCCCCAGCCUGAAAGAAUUUAAGGAGGCCACAUCAGAACAUAAUUAACCUUAAAUGAUUCUGUUUAUUCUACAGUAGACCCAGCUUUAGGCCCCUUCCUUGUCCUCACUCUGCACAUUCAUGGUCCCUAAUCUGGAGGUCAUUGCUAGUUACGAAAGUCUCUGACCUUUUCUGAAUCUAAAAUAUUCUGGGACUGGGUCAUUUCAAUGUACAUAUCCCUUGCCUUUUACAGCUCUGAAACCGCACCCUGGCAAGGGCCAGAAUCUGCUGGGGGUAGUUAUUGGUUUGCUAUUUGUACAGGCAUUCUAUGUAUGAAUCACUUUCCUUUUUUGGUUUUUCUAGAAGCAGCAAAUAUAUAAAUAAAAAGUAUCAGGGGAGCUUAAAAAUCAAACCACCCUGCCUUUCAUUUGAGACCUUGAUCUCCAUUUCCCACUCUCUUAUCUAUAGCCCCAUCCCUUAAGAAUUUCCAUGGAGCUGAGAACAGAUAGGAGGUACAGAUGCCUGAAGCCUGAAGCUUUCCCUUUCUUAGACCCACAGCAAAUAACAGGCUCCAUGAAGACGCCCAACAAGCUGAGCGUGCGGUUUUACCAGAAGCAGCCUAGGGCAGAGAGGAACUAAGCCUAGAGCAGAUGACGGAGACUUGACCAGAAUGGUACUGAUUGCAGCAAAACUGUGCACACUGCUCUUUGGGAUUAUCUUUGUUUUCUUUUCUUUUCUUUUUUUUAAUUACUCUUUCUCUCUGUUUUCUCUUCUUUCAUUCAAUCUCUUCUCAUUCCCCUUGUCUUAAAUCCUUUUGAAAUUCUCAGGCACCUCUCUUCCAUAAAAGCUACUUCUUUUCAAAACUUACUUUCUGUCCCUAGAAUGACAAUUUAAAUGAGAAAAACAUCUUCCUUUUGUAAAAGUUUAAGUCUCUGUAGUAAAAAAAAAAAAAAAGUCUGGUUUCUGAUGGCAAUUAUGUUGCACGAAGUGAAGGAAUGGGCCAGGUGUGGUGGCUCAUGCUUGUAAUUCUAGCAUUUUGGGAGGCUGAAGUGGGAGGAUCCCUUGAGGCCAGAAG
RNAcentral lists this long non-coding RNA (1232 nucleotides) under Homo sapiens (human). Its description in RNAcentral is "HSALNT0046662". Lineage: Eukaryota; Metazoa; Chordata; Mammalia; Primates; Hominidae. The record is from RNAcentral.